AUCCCACUCGUUCUCUCUCUUCAAGCUACAUCAAACCAUGUCUUUUCUCUCUCGACGGUUUCUUCACUUAUUAUAUGUAAGAGCCAAUUUUAAUUUUCUUCUCCCUAAACCCUAAACCAAUUAGGAAAAACUACCACGAAAUCCAACCCCACCAUUUUGCCGAGACCUCAACCCCAAAUUUGAAUAGGAAAGCAACCAGUAGUUUUAUUCACCACUAAUUGAAGCAAGAUCUGAAAAUUUGGUUGAUAAUUUCACUCUUGUUACAAACGGAAAUAGUAAAUGUGAUUUGAUUUUAUUAUUGAUUGGUCAUUUGAUUUACUCACCUAUUUAAUGCAUCCAUGAUUUUGACCUUUCUCUACAAGUGCAAAGAAACUGGGGACUAAGGAUGCUGAGUUUAAUGGGGAUUUCAACGUCGGGUCCAUGGGGAUUGGGUUCGACAUGGU
This 443-nucleotide long non-coding RNA is filed under the name Olea europaea subsp. europaea. The record is from RNAcentral. Lineage: Eukaryota; Viridiplantae; Streptophyta; Magnoliopsida; Lamiales; Oleaceae.